Molecule: ribosomal RNA, 1017 nt
Filed under: Triticum aestivum (bread wheat)
Lineage: Eukaryota; Viridiplantae; Streptophyta; Magnoliopsida; Poales; Poaceae
Description: partial small subunit ribosomal RNA
Source: RNAcentral
AUGGUGCGAUCUAUGAUGUCUCUUACUGAUUUACCACUAUCAUUUUGGGGUUAUGCUUUAGAGACGGCCACAUUCACGUUAAAUAGGGCACCAUCAAAAUCCGUUGAGACGACACCUUAUGAACUAUGGUUUGGCAAGAAACCAAAGUUGUCGUUUCUUAAAGUUUGGGGCUGCGAUGCUUAUGUGAAAAAGCUUCAACCUAAUAAGCUCGAACCCAAAUCAGAGAAAUGUGUCUUCAUAGGAUACCCAAAAGAAACAGUUGGAUACACCUUCUAUCACAGAUCCGAGGGCAAGACAUUCGUUGCUAAGAAUGGAUCCUUUAUAGAGAAGGAGUUUCUCUCAAAAGAAGUGAGUGGGAGGAAAGUAGAACUUGAUGAGGUAACAGUACCUGCUCCCUUAUUGGAAAGUAGUUCAUCACAGAAACCGGUUCCUGUGACGUCUACACCAAUUAGUGAGGAAGUUAAUGAUGAUCAUGAAACUUCAGAUCAAGUUGUUACUGAACCUCGUAUGUCAACCAGAGUAAGAUCCGCACCAGAGUGGUACGGUAAUCCUGUUCUAGAGGUUAUGUUGCUCGACCAUGAUGAACCUACGAACUAUGAAGAAGCGAUGGUGAGCCCAGAUUUCGCAAAAUGGCUUGAGGCCAUGAAAUCUGAGAAGGGAUCCAUGUAUGAGAACAAAGUGUGGACUUUGGUUGACUUGCCCAAUGAUCAGCAAGACAUCGAGAAUAAAUGUAUCUUCAAGAAGAAGACUGGCGCUGAUGGUAAUGUUACCGUCUCUAAAGCUCGACUUGCUGCAAAAGGUUUUCGACAAGUUCAACCGAUUGAUUACAAUGAGACCUUCUCACCUGUAGCGAUGCUUAAGUCUGUCCGAAUCAUGUUAGCAAUUGCCGCAUUUUAUGAUUAUGAAAUUUGGCAAAUGGAUGUCAACACUGCAUUCCUGAAUGGAUUUCUGGAAGAAGAGUUAUAUAUGAUGCAACCGGAAGGUUUUGUCGAUCCAAAGGGAGCUAACAAAGUAUGA